GAUGAACGCUGGCGGCGUGCUUAACACAUGCAAGUCGAACGGUAGAGCAGAGAUUGCUCGGUGUUACGGUUGCCAACGGGUGGGUAACACGUGAGCACCCUGCACCCUACUUUGGCGUAGGCGCUGACGACGGGGAACAAUACCGAAUAUCAGAUGCGACCGCCGGGUCAGAGGAUGGAAAGAUUGUUCGGUCUGCGAUAGACUGAGGGCCUAUCGGCUUGUUUGUGUGGUAGCGGCACGGCCAACCGUCGACAGGUAGCCGGCCUGAGAGGGUGACCGGCCACAAUGGGACUGAGAGACGGCGCAGACUCCAACGGUAGGCAGCAGUGGGGAAUCUGGCACAAUGGGCGAACGCCUGAUGCAGCAACGCCGCGUGAGGGAUGACGGCCUUCUGGUUGUAAACCUCUUUAGGCAGGGAAGAAGCGAUAGUGACGGUACCUGCAGAAAAAGCGCCGGCUAACUACGUG
This 467-nucleotide ribosomal RNA is filed under the name uncultured bacterium. RNAcentral's name for it is "partial 16S ribosomal RNA". It matches the Rfam family "Bacterial small subunit ribosomal RNA", at positions 28 to 507 of the family's 1533-position model. The record is from RNAcentral.